RNAcentral lists this unclassified non-coding RNA (212 nucleotides) under uncultured Helicobasidiaceae. RNAcentral describes it as "sequence contains ITS2". Lineage: Eukaryota; Fungi; Basidiomycota; Pucciniomycetes; Helicobasidiales; Helicobasidiaceae. The record is from RNAcentral.
AUACCUCAAUCCCCAUCUUUUCUUCAGAUUGAUGGGUGACUUGGAUGUUGAGCCCUGCUGGUAUGCUAUAUCAGCUGGCUUUAAACUUAUUAGCCGGCUCUGUACUGGAUCGGUUCGACUCGACGUGAUAAUAUUAUCGUUGAGGAUGCAUGUCUCAUGCAGCCGGAAAGUAUCAAAGCAGCUUCUAGCUUGCUCCUAGCGCACUUUUACAU